CGAACGGAGAUUAUACGCAGAGGCGAUUUCGGUCAAAUCAUGUGUAAUCUUUUUGGCGGACGGGUGAGUAACGCGUGGGUAACCUGCCUUACACUGGGGGAUAACACUUAGAAAUAGGUGCUAAUACCGCAUAAGCGCACGAAGCCGCAUGGAUUUGUGUGAAAAACUCCGGUGGUGUAAGAUGGACCCGCGUCUGAUUAGCUUGUUGGCGGGGUAACGGCCCACCAAGGCGACGAUCAGUAGCCGGCCUGAGAGGGUGGACGGCCACAUUGGGACUGAGACACGGCCCAAACUCCUACGGGAGGCAGCAGUGGGGGAUAUUGGACAAUGGGGGGAACCCUGAUCCAGCGACGCCGCGUGAGUGAAGAAGUAUUUCGGUAUGUAAAGCUCUGUCAGCAGGGAAGAAAGAAAUGACGGUACCUGACCAAGAAGCCCCGGCUAACUACGUGCCAGCAGCCGCGGUAAUACGUAGGGGGCAAGCGUUAUCCGGAAUUACUGGGUGUAAAGGGAGCGUAGACGGUUAAGUAAGUCUGGAGUGAAAGGCCGGGGCCCAACCCCGGGACUGCUCUGGAAACUAUUCAACUUGAGUGCAGGAGAGGUAAGCGGAAUUCCUAGUGUAGCGGUGAAAUGCGUAGAUAUUAGGAGGAACACCAGUGGCGAAGGCGGCUUACUGGACUGUAACUGACGUUGAGGC
Molecule: ribosomal RNA, 694 nt
Filed under: uncultured bacterium
Lineage: Bacteria
Description: bacterial SSU rRNA
Rfam family: Bacterial small subunit ribosomal RNA
Source: RNAcentral